CCUACGGGGUGCUGCAGUGGGGAAUAUUGGACAAUGGGCGAAAGCCUGAUCCAGCCAUGCCGCGUGUGUGAAGAAGGCCUUCGGGUUGUAAAGCACUUUCAGUGGGGAAGAAAGCCUUGGGGCUAAUACCCUCGAGGAAGGACAUCACCCACAGAAGAAGCACCGGCUAACUCCGUGCCAGCAGCCGCGGUAAUACGGAGGGUGCGAGCGUUAAUCGGAAUUACUGGGCGGAAAGCGCGCGUAGGCGGUCUGAUAAGCCGGUUGUGAAAGCCCCGGGCUCAACCUGGGAACGGCAUCCGGAACUGUCAGGCUAGAGUGCAGGAGAGGAAGGUAGAAUUCCCGGUGUAGCGGUGAAAUGCGUAGAGAUCGGGAGGAAUACCAGUGGCGAAGGCGGCCUUCUGGACUGACACUGACGCUGAGGUGCGAAAGCGUGGGUAGCAAACAGGAUUAGAUACCCGGGUAGUC
RNAcentral lists this ribosomal RNA (465 nucleotides) under Vreelandella stevensii. RNAcentral describes it as "partial 16S ribosomal RNA". It matches the Rfam family "Bacterial small subunit ribosomal RNA", at positions 338 to 795 of the family's 1533-position model. The record is from RNAcentral. Lineage: Bacteria; Pseudomonadati; Pseudomonadota; Gammaproteobacteria; Oceanospirillales; Halomonadaceae.